CAGUAGCCGCGGGAAUACGGAGGGUGCAAGCGUUAAUCGGAAUUACUGGGCGUAAAGCGCACGCAGGCGGUCUGACAAGUCAGAUGUGAAAUCCCCGGGCUUAACCUGGGAACUGCAUUUGAAACUGUCAGGCUGGAGUCUUGUAGAGGGGGGUGGAAUUCCAGGUGUAGCGGUGAAAUGCGUAGAGAUCUGGAGGAAUACCGGUGGCGAAGGCGGCCCCCUGGACAAAGACUGACGCUCAGGUGCGAAAGCGUGGGGAGCAAACAGGAUUAGAUACCCGCGUAGUCCCGUCUCUUAUACA
RNAcentral lists this ribosomal RNA (301 nucleotides) under uncultured bacterium. RNAcentral's name for it is "partial 16S ribosomal RNA". It matches the Rfam family "Bacterial small subunit ribosomal RNA", at positions 509 to 808 of the family's 1533-position model. The record is from RNAcentral.